Molecule: ribosomal RNA, 468 nt
Filed under: uncultured bacterium
Lineage: Bacteria
Description: partial 16S ribosomal RNA
Rfam family: Bacterial small subunit ribosomal RNA
Source: RNAcentral
GACGAACGCUGGCGGCGUGCUUAACACAUGCAAGUCGAACGGCAAGGCCCUGCUUUUGUGCGGUGCUCGAUUGGCGAACGGGUGAGUAACACGUGAGUAACCUGCCCUUCACUUUCGGAUAACUUCACGAAACUGGGGCUAAUACCGUAUAGGAUCUCCUGCUGCAUUGUGGGCGUUGGAAAGUUUCGGCGGUUGGGGAUGGACUCGCAGCUUAUCAGCUUGUUGGUGGGGUAGUGGCUUACCAAGGCUUUGACGGGUACCCGGCAUGAGAGGGUGAACGGCGACAAUGGGACUGAGAGACGGACCAGACGCGUACGGGAGGCAGCAGUGGGGAAUAUGGCACAAUGGGAGGAAGUCGGAUGAAGAAACGCCGCGUGCGGAAUGACGGCCUUCGGGGUGUAAACAGCUUUCGGCUGUGACGAAGCGGGAGUGACGGUAAUGGGUAAAGAAGCACCGGCUAACUACGUG